This is a long non-coding RNA of Pan paniscus (pygmy chimpanzee), 3098 nucleotides long. Lineage: Eukaryota; Metazoa; Chordata; Mammalia; Primates; Hominidae. The record is from Ensembl.
AUGUCCUCAAGGUGUUGCACCUUAAAGCACUAUCCAAUAAACCUCCUACAUGCAAAUCUCCAUCUCAGAAUCUGUAUCCAAGAGAUUCUACUCGAGACAUCAUCUUUUCCAGUCAGGGUUCCUAAUUGCACUGCCCCUGGAAAACGCAUGGAGAAGAAAUACAGCAAAAUACGUGAGAUGGUGAAACACUCUGGCAACUGCAAGCAGACAGAUGGGAUCUGGGAGGCUAGAAUGUCUGAAAUGACUUCGUAUGCAUCGUUCCUGAAGUAGAAUAGGCAAAACAGCUAGGGGAUGACUGGCAGCUUACUCUCCAUAUGAUUAGUUUGGGCUUCCUCACAGCAUGGCAGUCUCAGAGUCAUCAAACUUCUUACAGUAAGUGUAUUCUUCAGAGAAUCUCACUCAUUUAUUUUUAGUUUUGUUCUACUUUGUGAUGCAUAUGCAUUUUUGUCAGCUACCUUAAAUUCACUUUAGAACAAGGUGGGAUAUAAAUAUGAAAAUCAAGUGAAACAAAAAUUACAUAUCAAGGGAAGACAAAGACAUGUAUAGUAGUUUUCUUAAAGGAAUUUAGAGUCAAGCUGGAUAGAAAAAUUGUGGUCAUUAAAAGUUAGCAAGCUUCAGGAGGUGGAGAACAUUUGUUUCCUAAAGAGUUGUGUAGACAAGAAGUGUUAUAAUUGUUUGCAGGAAGCAGUGAACCCGUUAGGCUUCAAGAAUAAACUGGAUUUGAGAUUUUUUCCUUAAUUUUAAAAGAUAGAUAGGAUUUGGGCCAGCUGAGAUAAUUGGGAAGGAUUCAAAAAGGGAAGUGGUUUAUUAAAAGGUUGAUAUGUUAGAAAAGCCCAAGGCAUAUUUUGGGCCCUGGCAGAAGUGCUUGGCUGGAGAGUCUGUCCAGUGGAACUCUUGAGCAGUGGACUUCUUUUCUUGCCUAAGUAUUCAUUCACUCAUGAUCUGGGAACUGGACCUGAGUUUCCUUUUGAGCAACCAUCCUCCCACUACUCAAGCUCUGAAGUGAAGCAUAGUCUGAGGCCUGGGCUGAAAAGAAGAGAAAAUAUUGGUUUAGAAAUGGAGAUAUGAGUCCCCCUAUGCCAAUAAUAUACCAAGAGAACUUUGCUGAAACUUUCUGCUGUACAUGAACCUGAGGGAAUACAGAGGUGGGGUCUGCUGCUGCCACCUUGCCACCAUGCAAAGCCUGAGAUGCUAACUCAGCAAAGGCAGCUGAGGGCACAGCCUAGAGAUAGAGAGAAACUGAGUCCUGAUGGCAUAAUUUGAGUCCCAAAUCCAGCCAUACCUGCAGCCUUAUUCCAGAAUAGUCAGAGACGGGACAUUACACAAAUAUGAAGCAAAAAUUUGAACCAGGUAUCUAAAAAAAGUUAGGAGGAAAACAACGUAUAAUUAGAGAAAGGGAGAAUCAUGGGCUUAGGGGCAAAUGCCAUAAAUAUUUUCAGGCUUACAAAGUUUUUCAAAACCCAGUACUAGUCCAUCAUUCCAUUUUUGCCUCCCUGGCAUUUCUCUUUCCUCACCAUAUGCUUUACCCAUUAUGGACGCCAAAUUCCAUUUUCUAAAUAUUCUCUGUGCCUUCGUAACUCUGUGCCUUUGCCAAUGCUAUUCCCUAUGUGAAAUCACCCUUUCCUUCCUUUUCAAUCCGGAAAGCUCUUUCAUUAUCCCUGAAGGUUCACCUAGGGGAACCUUCUUGCUAUAUGCUUGUGUAAUUGUUUAUACACUUCUCUAAAACAGCAUUUACUUCAUUGUUUGGUAUUGCUUCUGACUAUCUCUCCCAUUAUUCUGUGAAUUCCUUGAGGGUAGAGACCAAGUCUAGUAUGCCUCAAAAACCCUUGAAGCAUUUAGCACAGUAUUUUAUAUACAAUAAGAGCUUAAUAGAUGCUUGUAGAAUAGAUAGUGCAUGAAUGAAUUAGAAAUGGCCAGUAAUAAAUGAAGAGAGGCCCUUGCCAGAGUUCCCUGGCUUUUGCCACGACUAUUCUCGGAAGCUUCCCCAUCUUGGUCUACAGAUUGCUAGGAAUUUCUUAUUUGUUCACCAUAACUUGUUUCUCCUAUCUUUUCCAAUAUCCCUUUAAUUUGGUGUGGCCAUGGAACUGUUUUCGUUGCAGUGGGGUGUAGAAGAAGGGAUGUGUACCACUUCCAGGUCUGAACUUCAAAACGUCCGUACUCUAUCGUCCACAUUUCCCUUUCUGCUGGAUGGAGAAUGCCCGGGGUGAACUUGGAAGCCAAGAUUUGAGAGCAGCAGAGCCUCUGUUAUUCUGAAUCUUUAAGUGACUGCUUGAAGUAGAGCCCUCCCCAUACCCCAUCAAUUGCCAACCAAGAACACCUGCACUGAACUGUUACAUGAAUAAGAAACUUCCAUUGCAUAAAAUCACUGCAAUUUGGGGUUUUAUUUAUUUAUUUAUUUAUAUUUUAUAACAACUAACAUUGCCCUAACUAGUACAGGACCCAAUAGAAUUUUCUUAGGUCAAAACAGGUUCUGAGUGUGGUGAAUAUUAUAUAGAGGGCAGAGCUAUAUUCUGGCAAGCCUCCCUGUUGUCUCUGGCCUCCCGUUUUUCAGAAAAAGGUCACUCGUGGUAUGAGGCAGCUGGGCAGUUUUGGCAUGGUAGGCUGGGGGUGAGAAGAUUAGGAUCUAUUUCUGGUCUGUCUCCCACUGGCUUUGGGUUUCCAGCCAAGGAAAAUUACAGCACGGAUGCUAAAACAACCCACCUAAGGGGAAAAUACAUAAAAAUGAAAACAAUUGCCCCAGCAGAAAGGCAGGUGAUGAUGAUUUCUGCCACAGGAGAGCAUAAUGAAUGCUCUUAUGACUCCACUCGUUCAAGCUUCAGUAGUCCUAAUGCACAAUGCCUUCAAAUCCUGCAGAAGCUGCUUACUGAUUCCAAGCCUGGCCAGCUAAGAGGAACAUUUUGACCUUUCUUUGGUGCAGGCAGACUGCAGAUGUACCAAUCAAAAUGUCUCCGUCCUUGUCAGUGUCAACUUCCUAAGCCAUAGGAUGAAUAUUGAGUUUACUUAGUUAAAAGACAAACAAAUAAAAAAAUGCCAGAAGGUGCAGCAUAUUGCUGGAACCCACCAAUCAGUGCUCCCGGAGGCAGACUUUUCGCCUGAAG